UUUACAAUGCGGGAAACCGUGAUAAGGGGACACCGAGUGCCAGCAUCAUAUGCUGGCUGUCCAGGUGUGUAAAAUACACCUGUUAGCAAGGGCCGGGCAAGACCGGUGCCAGCCGCCGCGGUAACACCGGCGGCCCGAGUGGUGAUCGUGAUUAUUGGGUCUAAAGGGUCCGUAGCCGGUUUGGUCAGUCCUCCGGGAAAUCUGAUAGCUCAACUAUUAGGCUUUCGGGGGAUACUGCCAGACUUGGAACCGGGAGAGGUAAGGGGUACUACAGGGGUAGGAGUGAAAUCUUGUAAUCCCUGUGGGACCACCUGUGGCGAAGGCGUCUUACCAGAACGGGUUCGACNGUGAGGGACGAAAGCUGGGGGCACGAACCGGAUUAGAUACCCGGGUAGUCCCAGCCGUAAACGAUGCUCGCUAGGUGUCAGGCAUGGCGCGACCGUGUCUGGUGCCGCAGGGAAGCCGUGAAGCGAGCCACCUGGGAAGUACGGCCGCAAGGCUGAAACUUAAAGGAAUUGGCGGGGGAGCACAACAACGGGUGGAGCCUGCGGUUUAAUUGGAUUCAACGCCGGG
Molecule: ribosomal RNA, 573 nt
Filed under: uncultured Methanosarcinales archaeon
Lineage: Archaea; Methanobacteriati; Methanobacteriota; Methanomicrobia; Methanosarcinales
Description: bacterial SSU rRNA
Rfam family: Archaeal small subunit ribosomal RNA
Source: RNAcentral